UAAGACUCUAAACUCGGGUUUCAGAGUGAU
Molecule: non-coding RNA, 30 nt
Filed under: Mus musculus (house mouse)
Lineage: Eukaryota; Metazoa; Chordata; Mammalia; Rodentia; Muridae
Source: RNAcentral